UAACCUGCCCAUUUUGAAGCAAGAAACAUAUCAGUUCUUUGCGCCUAUUGUACCACUAACUCAAUUUUGAUGAGACUGUAAACUAAAUUUUUAGAUUAGAAAUUAUAGUUGAUGCGACAGUAACCUGAUAAUAUGAUAAAAAAAAAGAAUAUAUUUAUACAAGGUGUUUUGAAAUUAUAGAUGCUGCUUCCUGAUAAAAUAGUCGGUGGUAGGGGCGGAAACAGGAAAAUAGUUUGGGGCAAGCUCGACAAUAUCGGUUUGUGAAGAAUUUUGGACACUAAUAAAUACUUCGUUUGUCCACAAAAA
This is a long non-coding RNA of Salvia miltiorrhiza (redroot sage), 306 nucleotides long. RefSeq lists it as uncharacterized. NCBI's taxonomy places the organism in Eukaryota, Viridiplantae, Streptophyta, Magnoliopsida, Lamiales, Lamiaceae. The record is from RefSeq and is a predicted model, not a curated record. The transcript is spliced from 2 exons.